GAUCACUCCCUCUGUCUCUCUCUCUCUCUCUCUUUCCUACCAGCAACCCUAUCCUACAGAAGAUGGCACCAAGUGUAAAUAGCAAGUAUGUUAUUUCCUAGAAUAAUUGCAAUAGAUGUGUAAAAGUGCAUAAAGUGUACGAAAUUGUAUGUAUGAAGUGUUUAUAGUGUAUUUUAUUGUUAAAAAGUUGCUGAAUAAAGAAAUGGGGGUGAACCGCCGUGAACCGC
RNAcentral lists this long non-coding RNA (227 nucleotides) under Locusta migratoria (migratory locust). RNAcentral describes it as "partial Lnc46382". The record is from RNAcentral. Lineage: Eukaryota; Metazoa; Arthropoda; Insecta; Orthoptera; Acrididae.